Long non-coding RNA from Amphibalanus amphitrite, 337 nucleotides. RefSeq lists it as uncharacterized. The transcript is spliced from 3 exons. The record is from RefSeq and is a predicted model, not a curated record. Lineage: Eukaryota; Metazoa; Arthropoda; Thecostraca; Balanomorpha; Balanidae.
CAGACUGACAAGGCGCGUGAAAGAAAAACUGCAGAACGCCGAGCGUCUGGACCACGCCGACUGGGGCUGCAUCACGCAAGCUGUAUACGACGAAUACACGGCAACGCACGACAAUCCAACUUCCUGAGCAAGAAGCUGCAGAGUAAGUUUAGAAACGAAAGGAAGAGGUCAACGAGCACGUCUGUUGAAGAAUACAGGCAAGCGUACCACGCGAAACGGCAGAAGUUGAACAUCUCGGCCUUGAAAGGUUAUCGCCCUGACGUGACGAACGAUGCCAUGCAAGAUGAAGUCGCCAUCAACAGGAUGAAGCGGGGCGGCCGGGACGCGACACACAGCA